CCCAAUGUGAACCAUACCAAACUGUUGCCUCGGCGGGGUCACGCCCCGGGUGCGUCGCAGCCCCGGAACCAGGCGCCCGCCGGAGGGACCAACCAAACUCUUUUCUGUAGUCCCCUCGCGGACGUUAUUUCUUACAGCUCUGAGCAAAAAUUCAAAAUGAAUCAAAACUUUCAACAACGGAUCUCUUGGUUCUGGCAUCGAUGAAGAACGCAGCGAAAUGCGAUAAGUAAUGUGAAUUGCAGAAUUCAGUGAAUCAUCGAAUCUUUGAACGCACAUUGCGCCCGCCAGUAUUCUGGCGGGCAUGCCUGUCCGAGCGUCAUUUCAACCCUCGAACCCCUCCGGGGGGUCGGCGUUGGGGACCUCGGGAGCCCCUAAGACGGGAUCCCGGCCCCGAAAUACAGUGGCGGUCUCGCCGCAGCCUCUCCUGCGCAGUAGUUUGCACAACUCGCACCGGGAGCGCGGCGCGUCCACGUCCGUAAAACACCCAACUUCUGAAAUGUUGACCUCGGAUCAGGUAGGAAUACCCGCUGAACUUAAGCAUAUCAAUAAGCGGAGGAA
RNAcentral lists this ribosomal RNA (558 nucleotides) under Trichoderma atroviride. RNAcentral's name for it is "eukaryotic LSU rRNA". The stretch from base 166 to 319 matches the Rfam family "5.8S ribosomal RNA". The record is from RNAcentral. Lineage: Eukaryota; Fungi; Ascomycota; Sordariomycetes; Hypocreales; Hypocreaceae.